Non-coding RNA from Tetranychus urticae (two-spotted spider mite), 4578 nucleotides. Lineage: Eukaryota; Metazoa; Arthropoda; Arachnida; Trombidiformes; Tetranychidae. The record is from RefSeq and is a predicted model, not a curated record.
UUCUUAAUGAUAUGAUGUCAUAAGGUUGACUGUUUUCUUUGUCAUAAGUUAACCGUCUUUUCAUUUUAAAUUGUUAACGGCUGUUUCUUUUGUUUAUUUGUAUUAAUCUAUACAGAUUUUAUUUCAUUUUAGUUUUUCUCAUUAAAGAUGUUUGUUUAUUAAAAAUUUAAGUCUUUUCAAUGUGGAAUCCACAUUGUGGAUUUAAUUCAUCGUACGCAGCGCAAAGGAAUUUGCGAUCAGUCAUAUGUGGAGCAGCCUCUGGUAUUAUUAAUUGUGUUUGUUUAAAUAAUUUCUCUGGGUUAAAUUAUGCAAAAAUUGGACAGCUAUUGACUCGACAGUGCUAAGGGUGAUUAACUAAGCCAUUAACAAAGACAAUUGGAUCCAUUAAUUUUUUGAGUCUCAUUAUCACAUGUUCUGAGGCAUAUCAUCAAGAUAGAUUUCAAUGUUUGAUCCAAUAUUGAAAUUGGAACCAGCCAAGUAAAGAUGAGUUCCACCAGAUUGAGGUCCAACCUUAGGAUUAACGUCCAUCAAUUGAACAGCCUUUAAUUUGAAAUUCAAAAAAGAGACAAGCAAAAAAAGCAUUGCAUUAAAUACUUGAUUAAAUAUUUGGUCAUUUGGAAGGAUUCAAGUUUAACAAUCAACAUUUAAUAGUUUGACUUGUUCCGCUUCUGGUUCAAAAUACACUUGGUUCUAUCUCUUGGCCAACCCUUUAUUGCGUAUACUGUUGACAAGUGCAAAUGAUUUGAGUAAAUAGGAAACAAAAGUCCGUAACACAAAUCAUCUAAUACAUGAACAUCAACAUAAAUUAACAACAGUUUUACAGUCUUAAUUGAAGUAAUAACGAUAAUACAAUGAGUAUAACGGAAAAUCAAAUUAAAAGUAAAAUUUUUUUGCCUGAUAUGAUUAUUGUUUAUUUUAAGUGGUUUCAACUUUCUCCUCUCUUCUUUUUCAUCACAUAAUCAAUCGGAUUAAAACCCAAAUGGCUUAUAUUUUCCAAUCCUCGCACAUAUAAAUAAUAAGCCUUAACCGGAAACUAGCAAAACAAUGGCCACAUCAACCGAGAGUGAAAAAAGGUGUUAAAGAUAUGAAAGACCUGGACGCGAAACAAAAAGCGAAUACAUUGUCAACUUUACAGAUUUAUGCUUGUUGAAUAACAUAAACCAUACCGAGAUAAAUUUCCUGUAUGUCUAACAUACAAAGUGUACCAAUGGUUUCAAUCAGUGGGUUAAUCUAAUGAUGCGCAUAAAUUGAGCGGUUAAUUCAAAAUACAGAUGUUUUAUCCAUAUUGAGUUUUUAUGCGCAUAAGAGAUUAUCUUCUUCCCUGAUGGAAACAUUCUGUAUACUCUGUAAAUGAUGAACAGAGACGAGGAUCAGCAUAUUUUAACCCUUACAGUUGAUUAUGCUUCCAAAUUGGGUUCUUACCAUUGAUUAGUGGAAUGGAAAAAUGUUGAGACCAAUGACAAUUCUGUGUAAUCACUUGGAUUAAAUACAAAAUGGUUUUCCUUGAUUAACUUCCCCACUUUCCUCUGUUUAUCUAUCUGGGUACAGAUUUUACAUCUUUUUGUCUCUUUCACCUUCAUCAUCUCCCUGAAUUUCCCUCUCUGGUUGAUUGAGUUUUUGCGUUCCAAGGGAACAUAAUAAUGUUAUACAAUAAAUCGGAGAAAAGGAAGAAAAAAGAUGAAGGCGAAUACGAAGAAGAAGAAGACAAAACACAAGGAAAAGAGUAUGACAAAGACUUAAAGAGCAUUUAAAAGGAUCACGAGAAUCUGAUGAACACAUGAUUGAGCAAAUACAUGUUGCAAGUUGUUUCUUCAAAAAUUCAGGUUAUGUAUAUUCAGGUAGCAGCAUGGCUUUUUCCCUUCUUCUUUGGCCUAACACAAUAGAGGAAACUAAAUCUUGCCUUACUUUGAUUAACAAAAUGGAUUAACCAACAUAAUGCCAGUCAAUUAGCAAUUAAUCUGAUUAGCUGACCUUCUGGUUCAUUCAAGAUUCUCAAGAUCAUGUUUCUCGCUUCCUCCUUCCUUAAGGUACCCAUCAUGUGCAAACUACAUUAACCUCAUCACUGUUGUUCCCUGAUCGAUAUUGAUGAAAUAAUGUCUAUUUUGUACAUUUUACUAAAAGCAAAUUUAACUAGACCAGGUUAACCAAGGUUUAUUUAUCAACCAACAAAAAGUUCUGGCUACAUGUUAGGAACAAUUCUCUCUUCCUCAGUCUUUGUAUUGUUGAUAAACAGUAAAUAAUUUCUUCAAAACGUGUAAUAGAAAUGUUUACAAUUGACUUUUCUAUUCUUGUUGAGUUUUAUUUUCUGUUUUACUCCAAAUCACUAACAAUAGUAGUUGAUGAAAAUCAAUUGGAAUGAGAAAAGAUUGGCUCAAGAUCAAUCGUUGAAUUACCCAAUUGAUUACAAUCAAUUUAAUGAUGGAGUGUAAACUUAUUUUCAAUUGCUAACCAUUGGUAUCAAAUCAAUUUUGUUGACCUUACGUUAGCUUUUUUUGCCAGUGUUGGUUAAAAAAGAAGCCUUUCAGACUAUUCCAACCUUUUCUCCAUCAUGUUCAAAUUCAAUUCUCAUUCAAAUUGAAUUUCCCUUUCCUUGCGUCUUUCAUCCCUUCUUCAGUAAUACCAAACCUCAAUCAACUUCACUUUCCACCAAAUUAACUUACAUUACUUUCAUGGAAUAUAAUUUAAUUGCAAGAUUAAUGUAAGAAAAACUAAUUACAACCUUUAACAAUCAUUCAAUCAAUUGUAAAAUACCCAUUUAAUCAAAUUUAGGUACAAACUUGAAACUCAAUUCUAACCUCAAUAUUAAUUUAUUUCAAAAUUGGGUAAAAAUUGGACUUCUUGACAAACCUAAAGUCUAAUAAUAGCAAAUGGCUAAAGUAAAAAUAUUAAUUUUUAUUUAAUCCAAUCAUUUGAAUUUCCAAUGAUAAUUUACAACAAUUACCUUAUUCACUCCCUUUUAACCAAACCCUUUGUUAACCAAAAAAUAACCCAAAAAGAACCAGAUUUGAUUGUUAACAAUUUAAACUGCUAGUCGCCCAAAGAUUCAUUCAGUUGCUUUCCAUCUUCAAUCUCAAAUAUAAGCAUGAAGAAACCUUUCAAAGGUUUCUAUGGGAAAAUGUUUGAAUAUUAUUUUGAUGAUGAAAAAAAUGGAACUGAUAAUAAUGAUAGUUUAUUCACUCCAGAGUUUUGGUUGAUUGGUUUUUGUUCCCAGAACAAAGCAAUUUCAUUUUACUAUUGAACCCAAAAGGGACAGACAAAAGUGUAGCUGAUAUCAAUAAAAACAACUGACCUGUUAAUUUGUUGUUUAGCUUUACUUUUUGUCUUGUUAUGGUUCACAUUUUAUACUGUUAUUGUUAUUAUUAUUGCUUGUUUUUCCUCUUGUUGAUAUUAUUAAUAAAGAGAGACAAACAGUUUCCAUUGAUAAUAAUAUUAAUGACUAUCAACAAUCACAAGGGAAUUUGAUUGAACCUCUUUUCAAUAUAAUAACAUAUCAAGGUAAAUCAAUUUUGAUCAAUUCUAUGUUCUUUUUCUCUUCUUUUCUCCUUUUUUUCCCUCUCAUAUAUUAAUGUUUAUUGAUAGUAGAUAUCAGUAAACAGUUAUAAUUUACUACACAGAAUUGAAAUUAAAACAGAUUACUGUUAACACCAGUUUAAUAGCUAUAAAAAAUCUGUUUACAUGAUCAUUCAACUGUUUCUCCAUUGAAUGCCAUUUAAUGAUGGAAAGAUAAAAAAAAGCAAAUCAAAUCUCUUAUUAAAAUCAUUAAUGAUUGAUAUAAUAAUUGACUUUCUUUGUAUCUAGAUUUACUCAAUUGCAUUUAAUGUAUUGUUGGUUAACAACAUUGGUUUGUUAUUACCUCUAAAAAUGCAACCCAAUUGACUUGACCAUUGUUAACAACAUGUUGCCCUUCCUUGACAAUUUACAUUGUUUAUUGUAAAAAAAGAGAGAAGCAAAUUGAAUUAAUCAAAAUUCAAGUGUUAAGGUUGCUAAUCAAGAUGUUAAUUAAAUGAUCCUAAAUCAAAAGAAGGUCACUUAAUCAGAGCUUUUUUAACAUCUAUUUAUCACUAAAUUACCAACCAUAUACCAUUAUGAAGUCUAUUGUUGGAUUAACCAGUGUUAAUGAUGAUUAAAUAUAACUUCAUUUACUUUCAUCAUAAUCACCGCCAUCAUCAUUACCAUUGACACUAGAUUUGUUUUCAGCAACAAACGUAAUUUUCCCAUCUUUUUAUAUUAUUAUUAAUUAUUUACUAAUUUUGCGUCUUUCCUUUUCCUUUUUCAACAGGAGACAUUCAUGGACAACUGGACAAUCAUUCAUUGUCACUGGCAUUUCAUUGACUGUGUUCAUGUUUCCUCAUUGGCCUCCAUCUAUUCCUAAGAAAAUCUAAAUAUAGUGAUGAACCUGAUGCAUCCCAAUGGAACUUGAAUCAUUAAAUAACUUUCCUGAAAACAAAACUCAUCAAGCUUUUACUUUGACCAGCUCAAUGAAUCAACCUUUAUGUGCAUUUGUUUAAACUUUUUUUUAUUCAUUUCAUUCCAUCUUCCCCUAUCCAUUAUCAUUAUACAUAGGUUAUCAUUCAGACA